Molecule: ribosomal RNA, 253 nt
Filed under: uncultured bacterium
Lineage: Bacteria
Description: partial 16S ribosomal RNA
Rfam family: Bacterial small subunit ribosomal RNA
Source: RNAcentral
UACAGAGGUCUCAAGCGUUGUUCGGAAUUACUGGGCGUAAAGGGCUCGUAGGCGGCCAACUAAGUCAGACGUGAAAUCCCCAGGCUCAACCUGGGAACUGCGUCUGAUACUGGAUGGCUUGAAUCCGGGAGAGGGAUGCAGAAUUCCAGGUGUAGCGGUGAAAUGCGUAGAUAUCUGGAGGAAUACCGGUGGCGAAGGCGGCAUCCUGGACCGGCAUUGACGCUGAGGAGCGAAAGCCAGGGGAGCAAACGGG